RNAcentral lists this ribosomal RNA (253 nucleotides) under uncultured bacterium. RNAcentral describes it as "partial 16S ribosomal RNA". It matches the Rfam family "Bacterial small subunit ribosomal RNA", at positions 524 to 776 of the family's 1533-position model. The record is from RNAcentral.
UACAGAGGUCCCAAGCGUUAAUCGGAAUUACUGGGCGUAAAGCGUGCGCAGGCGGUUUUGUAAGUCAGAUGUGAAAUCCCCGGGCUUAACCUGGGAACUGCGUUUGAAACUACAAGGCUAGAGUGUGGCAGAGGGGGGUGGAAUUCCACGUGUAGCAGUGAAAUGCGUAGAGAUGUGGAGGAACACCGAUGGCGAAGGCAGCCCCCUGGGUUAACACUGACGCUCAGGCACGAAAGCGUGGGGAGCAAACAGG